Capsicum annuum is the source of this 1320-nucleotide long non-coding RNA. RefSeq lists it as uncharacterized. Lineage: Eukaryota; Viridiplantae; Streptophyta; Magnoliopsida; Solanales; Solanaceae. The record is from RefSeq and is a predicted model, not a curated record. The transcript has 2 exons.
ACACCAAGAAGAAGCAGAAGAAACAAAGUUGUUUCUUAUAUAGAUUUCUCUCCUCUCCUCUUUCGUUUUAGCAUAUUUCAGAAUAUUUAUUUGCAACACGUUAUCAGCACGAGAUCCCUUAUAAGUUUCACUAUGUCAAAUUUAUCAAAACUUGAGUUUGUGGAUUUGGACAUUACCGGAAAGAAUUAUUUAUCAUGGGUCCUUGAGGCUGAAAUUCACCUUGACGCUAGAGGUUUUGGGGAUACUAUCAAACAAGAAAAUAACGCAUCUUGUCAAGAUAAGGCGAAAGUCAUUAUUUUUCUUCGUCAUCACCUCCACCAAGGAUAAAAAACUGAAUAUUUAACUGUGAAAGAUCCACUCGAAUUGUGGACCAACUUGAAGGACCGAUAUCACCACCUAAAAUUGACGGUAUUAUCAAAAGCUAAAUAUCACUGGAUACACCUUUAGUUUCAAGAUUUCAAAACUGUGGUUGAGUAUAAUUCUGCUAUUCAUAAAGUAAGUUCAAUAUUAAGAUUAUGCGGAGAAACCACCACUGAUAAGGACUUACUAGAGAAAACUUUUUCUACUUUUCAUGCUUCUAAUGUAUUGCUACAACAACAAUAUCGUGAAAAGGGAUUUAAGAAAUAUUCAGAAUUGAUUAUAUGCCUAGUUGUGGCAGAGCAGAAUAAUACUUUAUUAAUGAAAAAUCAUGAAGCUCGUCCCACUGGAUCUGCUCCAUUCCCUGAAGCGAAUGUUGUAGCAGCACAUAAUCAGCCUGAAAUAAGGAAAAAUUAUUAUCGCGGCCGUGGUCGAGGCCAUGGUCGUGGACGUGGGCGAGGAUGUGGCAGAGGAUGAAAUAAUUAUCGUCAUAAUGGUAGAAAUAAACAAGAGAACAAUAAAGGUUCUCAAAAUAAUCCUUCAAAGGGUAAAGUUAAUAUUUGUCACCGAUGUGGUAUGAAAGGUCAUUGGGCACGUGUUUGUUGUACGCCUGCUCAUUUUGUCAAACUUUAUCAAGCUUCCCUUAAAAGAAAAGAAAAUGAUGUGGAGGUACACUUGACCUUUCGAGGUGAUGAUGAUGAAGCAGCUCCAUCAAAUACAUAUGAUGAUGUUGAGGCAAAUCUUUCUUACAAUGAUGAUGACUUUAAGGGCCUCUCAGAUAUUACCCAUUUGAAAGCUGAAGAUUUCUAUGAGGACAUUGAUUGAAGAACUGAUCACCUUAGUUGAGAAUAAAUUAUAAAGAAAGUUAUUAUUUUCUUUUGUUUGUAAUUAUGUUUUUCUGUUUUAUUAAAGUACCAUGUAUUUCUAAUUUCUACAUUUCUUAUGUUAGUUUUUCAAAAUUUU